GUGGGGAAUAUUGGACAAUGGGCGAAAGCCUGAUCCAGCCAUGCCGCGUGUGUGAAGAAGGUCUUCGGAUUGUAAAGCACUUUAAGUUGGGAGGAAGGGCAUUAACCUAAUACGUUAGUGUUUUGACGUUACCGACAGAAUAAGCACCGGCUAACUUCGUGUCAGCAGCCGCGGUAAUACGAAGGGUGCAAGCGUUAAUCGGAAUUACUGGGCGUAAAGCGCGCGUAGGUGGUUCGUUAAGUUGGAUGUGAAAGCCCCGGGCUCAACCUGGGAACUGCAUCCAAAACUGGCGAGCUAGAGUACGGUAGAGGGUGGUGGAAUUUCCUGUGUAGCGGUGAAAUGCGUAGAUAUAGGAAGGAACACCAGUGGCGAAGGCGACCACCUGGACUGAUACUGACACUGAGGUGCGAAAGCGUGGGGAGCAAACAGGAUUAGAUACCCCAGUAGUCC
RNAcentral lists this ribosomal RNA (450 nucleotides) under uncultured bacterium. RNAcentral's name for it is "partial 16S ribosomal RNA". It matches the Rfam family "Bacterial small subunit ribosomal RNA", at positions 354 to 796 of the family's 1533-position model. The record is from RNAcentral.